This is a long non-coding RNA of Zootermopsis nevadensis, 2403 nucleotides long. RefSeq lists it as uncharacterized. The record is from RefSeq and is a predicted model, not a curated record. Lineage: Eukaryota; Metazoa; Arthropoda; Insecta; Blattodea; Termopsidae.
AUGAAUAUGACACCCAAGUACACUUUCCGGGCUAGACAGACACUUCAGUUUUCUUUUUAUCUCGAUUGCCACAGAUAGUACCGUCGGAUAGCAGCUAACCCACAGAACGAGACAUCGGCUAAAUCCUUUGGCACGGAUUAUACAACAAAAUUAUAUAGAUUCCAGGCAAUGUGUGGAAACGAACACACGACCCUAAAAAAUAAAACUAGGCAAGAAAUAAAAAUAAAAUUUAAAAUGUCAUGGCGGUGCCAACACUAUUAUAUGGAUGUGAUACUGGGUGCCAGCACAAAGAAAUGUUAGUAGGAUACAAGAAGCGGAAAUGAGAUUUUAUCAAGGAGUUCAAGGAUGUACAUAAGCAGACAGGUUCAAAAAUGAAGAUAUAAGAAAAAAAUACAAAUAGAGGCAUUAAAUACAAAAGUAAUUGGGUAACGCAGGAAAUGGGCAGAACACUCGUCAAGGAAGACAAUACCAAAAAUAAUAGGAUUUGAGGUUUUCAUGGCGGUGAGUUUGAAGAUGGCUGUCUUCUGGGUUGUUGCACCGUGUGGUCCGAUAGAAGUUUACCGAUGUUUGAGAGGUCCUUGCUGCCUGCAUAAUCAGGACGAUGGCGGAGAUCUUCCAGAUCGUUUGAAAGCGCUUGGGAAAGAAUUCUACGAUACAAGUAACCAAGGUUCGGAAAAGUUUUACGCCAGGGAAGAAUUAUGUUUACUGUGGUAAUAUCACCGAUACUAACGCUUGGCUUGGAACACGUUUUUGAACAAGUGGCGAUGUGUGAUGGCGUGGCCAGUGUUUGACGGAAAGCGACUGUUUGAUACACGAGAAUGAACCUUGAAAGAACGCUGUGUUUGAACAGAAACUUUUGAAUAAGAAAGCGGAAGUUUCAUUCAUAAGGGCUGGAUGGAUCAACUACCAGCUGCUGCAGGUAACUACGUGCCUGCCCGACAACGAUUUUCGCAUUCUCUGUGAUAGUCAAUGUUGGAAAAGUAAUUACGACAAGAAGAUGGCUGUAUGCGGAGUUUUAUAGGCUGAGUCAACCCUGUCGGCUCUUGUCACCUGUGAGGUUAACGGGAGCGACCUCAAAGACCGGGUGAGGACCAACUGAACUAGCAGUGCCAGAUCGAUCCCAUUCUUUUUGCUGUGUCAGUGUGGCAUGGGAAGGGUGAUUGGAGUAUCUUGCCUGAUUCUUGCUAGCACAAGAGGACUGUCUCUCAGAAUGCAGUGAAAGCCUGCAUGAAAAGCGUGGUUUCUGGAACAGCUGCAGAUCUAACAAGUUCUUGAGCCAUCAACAGUUAAGGAGCACCAGUAGCACAUUUGUCUGGAACAUCCAGGUAAAUCUACCAUGGGCAAAGACAACAUACAACUGGGCCAUAGAAUCCAAAACCAGCACACCAGCAUCCUCUCCACAAAGUCAAGACAUACUGGAAAGGACAGUCAUGGAGGCUACUGAGAUCAAGCUACAGCCUAACAAUAUGAAGUUUGCUUUUGUGAUCUUUACUGUUGGUUCCCUUGUCAGCCCUGAUGAGGGCUGCUUUGUUCCUUCCUUGCAUGCCAGACCUAUAUUUCCCGUCGCUUAGUCUUUGACUUUAUGGUGGAUGAAGCACACCUCAAUUUUUAGGCAGUUUCUACCAGAAUGCAUGGUGCAGCAUCCCAGAAGACAGUCGUUUUCACUUACCACUCACCUCCUACACUGCUAGAUCUAUGAUGUAAAGGUUUCCAAAUCUGCCAAAAAUAAUCAUCCUGAAGAUGACGACUGCAGUGUGCCAAACCUUCAAAAUUUUGUUCAUGUUGUUCAUGCAACCUGUAGCUAUACAGUAAAACAGGCAUCUUGUUUGUCUUCUUCGUUUUGUAUAAUAUCCAAGUGGCUACAUUGUUUCACUAAAUUGUGAUUUUUUGCUGUCACUUGGAUACUGUAAAGUUUGCCUGGAGAUAUGCUUAGAGCAUCUUUAAUUAUCCUUCAGAUGAGGGCUGACAUUUCAAACAGAAUGUUUAUGUGCUACAUAUAAUAUUGAAUGAAUAUACAUUGUAAUUUUUCAUAAAAUACUAUGAAUAUUUUGAAAUGCAGUGAUAAUACUCCACUUCUGAACCUGUCAAAUGUAUAAACUGAAUGUGCUGUCAAACUGCAUUGUAUGAGUUAGGUUUCAUAUACCUGUAAGUGAAAUGUUCAGUAUGUAAAAGGAACCUUCAGUUGUUCAGUAGAACACAUUAUUAGAUUAUAGUAAUUAGGUCUUGCGUACAGGUUGAAUGCUUGUGUGUGGAUGCUGUCCUCUGUCAACCAGAUGUUGCACGUUUCAUUUCCAGCAGCUAUUAUUGUGUUUGAUACAGUUUUGUGUGGGAGGUGUUUAAUAAAAUGUGUCUGUAAUGUGUGAAAUGAAUUACAUCAGCUUUCACUUCAAGUGAAACUUCAGA